This 126-nucleotide microRNA precursor is filed under the name Myotis brandtii (Brandt's bat). RNAcentral's name for it is "mir-9193 microRNA precursor family". It matches the Rfam family "mir-9193 microRNA precursor family". Lineage: Eukaryota; Metazoa; Chordata; Mammalia; Chiroptera; Vespertilionidae. The record is from Rfam by way of RNAcentral.
UGUGCACUGGUGGGGUCCCUCAGCCUGGCCUGUGCCCUCUCACAAUCCGGGACCCUCAGGGGGUGUCGGACUGCUGGUUUCUGCCCGAUCCAUGUAGGCCAGGCUGAGGGACCCCAUCGGUGCAUG